RNAcentral lists this ribosomal RNA (468 nucleotides) under uncultured bacterium. RNAcentral describes it as "partial 16S ribosomal RNA". It matches the Rfam family "Bacterial small subunit ribosomal RNA", at positions 28 to 507 of the family's 1533-position model. The record is from RNAcentral.
GACGAACGCUGGCGGCGUGCUUAACACAUGCAAGUCGAACGGAAAGGCCCUGCUUUUGUGGGGUGCUCGAGCGGCGAACGGGUGAGUAACACGUGAGUAACCUGCCCUUGUCUUUGGGAUAACUUCAGGAAACUGGGGCUAAUACCGGAUAGGAGCUCCUGCUGCAUGGUGGGGGUUGGAAAGUUUCGGCGGUUGGGGAUGGACUCGCGGCUUAUCAGCUUGUUGGUGGGGUAGUGGCUUACCAAGGCUUUGACGGGUAGCCGGCCUGAGAGGGUGACCGGCGACAUUGGGACUGAGAGACGGCCCAGACUCCUACGGGAGGCAGCAGUGGGGAAUAUUGCACAAUGGGCGGAAGCCUGAUGCAGCAACGCCGCGUGCGGGAUGACGGCCUUCGGGUUGUAAACCGCUUUCGCCUGUGACGAAGCGUGAGUGACGGUAAUGGGUAAAGAAGCACCGGCUAACUACGUG